AAAUGAAAUAAAACUCGGCAGCUUAUAUAAGAAUCUCAUUACAAUUUCGGGCAAUACGAAGGUGGAGAUGAAGCUUAGUACUCAGUUUUUGGAGAAGGUGAGUACGAUGGUGGUGGUGGAGAACUGUAGACAUAUGGUGGUGGAGGAGAUUUGUAGUCUACCUUAGGUGAAGGUGAGUAGUAUGGUGGUGGUGGUGAGCUGUAGACAUAUGGUGGUGGAGGUGAUUUGUAGUCAACCUUAGGGGAAGGUGAGUAGUAUGGUGGAGGAGGUGAACUGUAAACGUAUGGUGGUGGAGGUGAUUUGUAAUCAACCUUAGGGGAAGGUGAGUAGUAUGGUGGAGGAGGAGAACUGUAGACGUACGGUGGUGGUGGUGAUUUGUAGUCAAUCUUAGGAGAAGGUGAGUAGUAUGGUGGAGGAGGUGAACUGUAGACGUACGGUGGUGGAGGAGAUUUGUACUCUACCUUAGGGGCAGGUGAGUAGUAUGGUGGUGGUGGUGAACUGUAGACGUACGGUGGUGGAGGAGAUUUGUACUCUACCUUAGGCGCAGGUGAGUAGUAUGG
RNAcentral lists this long non-coding RNA (560 nucleotides) under Arabidopsis lyrata. RNAcentral's name for it is "long non-coding RNA (ALYR_LNC001607)". The record is from RNAcentral. Lineage: Eukaryota; Viridiplantae; Streptophyta; Magnoliopsida; Brassicales; Brassicaceae.